AACGCACCUUGCACCCCUUGGUAUUCCGAGGGGUACACCUGUUUGAGUGUCGUGAAUUUCUCCACCCCUCUUGGCUUUGUUGUCAAGUUUGUGGGCUGGGAUUUGGGGGUUAUUUUGCGGACCUUUUCCGAGUUCCGCUCCCCUUGAAUGCAUUAGUGGAUGCCUUCUGUGGGCCUUGGUAUUGAUAAUUGUCUAUGCCUGGCUUUCUGAAUGGUCUUGUCUGCUUAGAACUGUCUUUAAGAGACGACUGUCAUUGAAACUUGACCUCAAAUCAGGUGGGACUACCCGCUGAACUUAA
RNAcentral lists this unclassified non-coding RNA (298 nucleotides) under uncultured fungus. RNAcentral's name for it is "partial contains 5.8S ribosomal RNA, internal transcribed spacer 2, and large subunit ribosomal RNA". The record is from RNAcentral. Lineage: Eukaryota; Fungi.